This 603-nucleotide small RNA is filed under the name Pan troglodytes (chimpanzee). RNAcentral describes it as "retained intron". Lineage: Eukaryota; Metazoa; Chordata; Mammalia; Primates; Hominidae. The record is from RNAcentral.
GGCUGAACUCUACAGGGGAGCAGCAGUGUAUCCAUAGUCCAUAUUUUCCUGUGUGUUCAUUCAUCCAUUCAGCAAAUGUUCAUUGAGUGCCUACUGUUGUCAGGCACUGUUCUAGGUGCAAUGAAGGACUUCUGUAGGCGUGAGGAGUGGGACCAGUGAGUGUCUUUAUCUUGUGGGUCUUUUACAUUUGCAUUUCAAAACAUCCUCCACCUUUGCCUCUGUCAGGAAUCUUCUUUUGAUGGCAAGAUAUGAUGGGAAUUGGGAAGAUGAGGAUGUUUUACUUUUAGAGUUUUUAUUCAUUUAUUUAUGUUUUUGUGUCAGUUAAAGGAAACAUUAGCAAAAGUUCCACCUAAUCAUGUGGGAAAGCCUUUACUGAAGAAGCCAAUGGGACCAGCCCACUGGGAAAAGAUAGAAGCAAUUAACCAAGCCAUAGCCAAUGAAUAUGAAGUCCGGAGAAAGCUGCUAAUAAAACGUUUGGAUGUCACUGUACAAUCCUUUGGCUGGUCUGACAGAGCUAAGAGCCAGACAGAAAAAUUAGCCAAGGUUUACCAGCCGAAACGUUCAGUCUUAUCCCCUAAAAGUACUAUUUCUGUUGCCCAUCUU